GACGAACGCUGGCGGCGUGCUUAACACAUGCAAGUCGAACGGAAAGGCCCUGCUUUUGUGGGGUGCUCGAGUGGCGAACGGGUGAGUAACACGUGAGUAACCUGCCCUUGACUUUGGGAUAACUUCAGGAAACUGGGGCUAAUACCGGAUAGGAGCUCCUGCUGCAUGGGGGGGGUUGGAAAGUUUCGGCGGUUGGGGAUGGACUCGCGGCUUAUCAGCUUGUUGGUGGGGUAGUGGCUUACCAAGGCCUUGACGGGUAGCCGGCCUGAGAGGGUGACCGGCCACAUUGGGACUGCGAUACGGCCCAGACGCCUACGUGAGGCAGCAGUGGGGAAUAUUGCACAAUGGGCGGAAGCCUGAUGCAGCAACGCCGCGUGCGGGAUGACGGCCUUCGGGUUGUAAACCGCUUUCGCCUGUGACGAAGCGUGAGUGACGGUAAUGGGUAAAGAAGCACCGGCUAACUACGUG
Molecule: ribosomal RNA, 468 nt
Filed under: uncultured bacterium
Lineage: Bacteria
Description: partial 16S ribosomal RNA
Rfam family: Bacterial small subunit ribosomal RNA
Source: RNAcentral